GCCUGUUUGGCUCAGUGGAUAGAGCAUUGGUCUCCAGACCAAAGGGUCCUGGGUUCAAUUCCAUUUAAGGGCA
Molecule: transfer RNA, 73 nt
Filed under: Myotis brandtii (Brandt's bat)
Lineage: Eukaryota; Metazoa; Chordata; Mammalia; Chiroptera; Vespertilionidae
Rfam family: tRNA
About the family: Transfer RNA (tRNA) molecules are approximately 80 nucleotides in length. Their secondary structure includes four short double-helical elements and three loops (D, anti-codon, and T loops). Further hydrogen bonds mediate the characteristic L-shaped molecular structure. tRNAs have two regions of fundamental functional importance: the anti-codon, which is responsible for specific mRNA codon recognition, and the 3' end, to which the tRNAs corresponding amino acid is attached (by aminoacyl-tRNA synthetases). tRNAs cope with the degeneracy of the genetic code in two manners: having more than one tRNA (with a specific anti-codon) for a particular amino acid; and 'wobble' base-pairing, i.e. permitting non-standard base-pairing at the 3rd anti-codon position.
Source: Rfam by way of RNAcentral